CCUGGCUGCCUCCCAAUCCCAUCUCCGCCUCCUGCCAGGGCCCGCCCCGCGCCUGACCAUGCGCCGCCGCACCACAUCCGCGGCCGACCCGUGAUUGCCAAAGAGCGAGAGGAGGAGCACGACGUUGGAUCUCGGUGCCUCCAGCCCCCUUCCCACACAACCCCGAUGAUCUCCGCGACGUUGGAUCUCGGGGACGAAGCCGCUUCUUCCGCGGCAUCCGCGCAGAUCGAAAUCAGUUCCUCCCCGUGGCUCUCCUUCACUUCCCGCUGUCCUCGGGCCCAAGCCGCCGACGAAGGCUGUUGUGCGGCUAGCACGAGGCGGCUGGACGAUGGCUACCACAACGAUGCACGAGGAGGCUAGCCCAAGGCUGUCGGACGACCGCAACCACGGAGAUGCAAGAGGAGGCAAGCCCGAGGCGGCCGAACGACAGCGAUAUGUCAUCCUCGACUAAGGCUGGUUCCUUCUGAUGGUGGGCGGCGCCAGAUCCAGUCAUUCUCCUCGAGCUCCCCGUCGUCGUGCUACCGUGGGCGUCUUCGCCAACAUCUCACGCCGGUGAACGUGUCCUGCCGGUGGUUCCUCCUGCCGUCAUAACGUAAACCAGCAAAGCAUGUGCGCACGGCGGAAGAUGCUCUCGCUUCCGCGGAACGCACGCCUCCCCUACGGUCACGAACAAGAUACAUACGGAAAUUUAAAUAUUUCCUCAUGCCCAGUGUAGAGUAUGCAAACUUCAUAAUGGAAAUAAAGGACUGACGACACUGACAUGAGUUUUGUCAGUGGAAAGAGCAAAGAGUGAUGCCACAGUCUGAAUGCUGGAAUCCGAAGGAAUUGACCUACUAUUGCCGAGAUGGUCAUAAAUCGGGCUCUUUUCUGUAGCAACUCUGAGCUACAUCGACUGCUUCAUAUUUUCAGCAUUUUUCCUCCCUGCUUCUCCUGGUCCGUUGAGAAAUAUGUGUCUUGAAGUUCUGUACUAAAGACUAUAGGCCUGCACAUGGUCAUUCAGCACUGAAGGUCAAUGUUGCACUUAGGCCGGUUGGGGUCUGAACAUGCAAGAAAAGGAAGGAAAAUUAGUAAAAUACAAAUCUUGCUUCAACAAAAAUGUUGACAAUAUGCUUUACUAGAUCAUUAGCUUUGACAGGAAAAAUAAUCUGUCAGAAUUGCAGGAUUUCUUCAAUCAAAUCAUUAGCAAAUGCCAAAGCCUUGAGGCUACCACUACAAAUGAACCAAAAUUGUGAACUGGUUAAGCAAAUAGCAAGACUGCACCAUUGACUUUGCUUGCUAUUGGCGUGUGUUUAACAUGCUGGUUUGGGUCAGACAGUUGACGCGGGACUCAGAAAUUGACUCGGAAUAAUGAUCGCAAGUGGAAGAAAUCAUCACAGUUAGGACGAGCUUGAGGUUGCAGCGGCGGAGCCAAGAGUGAGUGCAACCGAAUAGGCCCCAAGUUGGUGAUGCUUGCACUAGAAACCGCCAUGCAUCAGUAGAUCUCCUGCAAAUAUCGUCCUCGGUUCCCAUCACUUUCAAUUUCAUAAGAACACCCAAA
Molecule: long non-coding RNA, 1537 nt
Organism: Triticum dicoccoides
Lineage: Eukaryota; Viridiplantae; Streptophyta; Magnoliopsida; Poales; Poaceae
Exons: 3
Source: RefSeq, a predicted model, not a curated record